GGAAGUAAAAGUCGUAAACAAGGUUUCCGUAGGUGAACCUGCGGAAGGAUCAUUAUUGUAUAACCGAGGUGCGAGGGCUGUCGCUGACCCGAAAGGUCGUGCACGCCCGAGUGCCCCCACACACAUCCAUCUCACCCCUAUGUGCACCACCGCGUGGGUCCCCCUUUGGCUUGUUCGGAGGGGGGCUUACGUUUUCACACAAACUUUGUAUGCAGUGUAGAAUGUAUUUUUUGUUUUUGCGAUCACGCAAUCAAUACAACUUUCAACAACGGAUCUCUUGGCUCUC
Molecule: unclassified non-coding RNA, 286 nt
Filed under: plant metagenome
Description: partial contains small subunit ribosomal RNA, internal transcribed spacer 1, and 5.8S ribosomal RNA
Rfam family: Eukaryotic small subunit ribosomal RNA (bases 1-55)
Source: RNAcentral